RNAcentral lists this ribosomal RNA (492 nucleotides) under uncultured bacterium. RNAcentral's name for it is "partial 16S ribosomal RNA". It matches the Rfam family "Bacterial small subunit ribosomal RNA", at positions 29 to 507 of the family's 1533-position model. The record is from RNAcentral.
AGUGAACGCUGGCGGUAGGCCUAACACAUGCAAGUCGAACGGCAGCACAGUAAGAGCUUGCUCUUACGGGUGGCGAGUGGCGGACGGGUGAGGAAUACAUCGGAAUCUACUUUUUCGUGGGGGAUCACGUAGGGAAACUUACGCUAAUACCGCAUACGACCUGCGGGUGAAAGCAUGGGAUCUUCGGACCUUGCGCGAUUGAAUGAGCCGAUGUCGGAUUAGCUAGUUGGCGGGGUAAAGGCCCACCAAGGCGACGCUCCGUAGCUGGUCUGAGAGGAUGGUCAGCCACACUGGAACUGGAACAGGGUCCAGACUCCUACGGGAGGCAGCAGUGGGGAAUAUUGGACAAUGGGCGCAAGCCUGAUCCAGCCAUACCGCGUGGGUGAAGAAGGCCUUCGGGUUGUAAAGCCCUUUUGUUGGGAAAGAAAAGCAGCAGGUUAAUACCCCGCUGUUCUGACGGUACCCAAAGAAUAAGCACCGGCUAACUUCGUG